This 465-nucleotide ribosomal RNA is filed under the name uncultured Klebsiella sp. Its description in RNAcentral is "bacterial SSU rRNA". It matches the Rfam family "Bacterial small subunit ribosomal RNA", at positions 338 to 795 of the family's 1533-position model. The record is from RNAcentral. Lineage: Bacteria; Pseudomonadati; Pseudomonadota; Gammaproteobacteria; Enterobacterales; Enterobacteriaceae.
CCUACGGGGUGCUGCAGUGGGGAAUAUUGCACAAUGGGCGCAAGCCUGAUGCAGCCAUGCCGCGUGUGUGAAGAAGGCCUUCGGGUUGUAAAGCACUUUCAGCGGGGAGGAAGGCGGUGAGGUUAAUAACCUCAUCGAUUGACGUUACCCGCAGAAGAAGCACCGGGUAACUCCGUGCCAGCAGCCGCGGUAAUACGGAGGGUGCAAGCGUUAAUCGGAAUUACUGGGCGUAAAGCGCACGCAGGCGGUCUGUCAAGUCGGAUGUGAAAUCCCCGGGCUCAACCUGGGAACUGCAUUCGAAACUGGCAGGCUAGAGUCUUGUAGAGGGGGGUAGAAUUCCAGGUGUAGCGGUGAAAUGCGUAGAGAUCUGGAGGAAUACCGGUGGCGAAGGCGGCCGCCUGGACAAAGACUGACGCUCAGGUGCGAAAGCGUGGGGAGCAAACAGGAUUAGAUACCCUAGUAGUC